GACGAACGCUGGCGGCGUGCCUAAUACAUGCAAGUCGAACGCUGAAGGAGGAGCUUGCUUCUCUGGAUGAGUUGCGAACGGGUGAGUAACGCGUAGGUAACCUGCCUGGUAGCGGGGGAUAACUAUUGGAAACGAUAGCUAAUACCGCAUAAGAGUAGAUGUUGCAUGACAUUUGCUUAAAAGGUGCAAUUGCAUCACUACCAGAUGGACCUGCGUUGUAUUAGCUAGUUGGUGGGGUAACGGCUCACCAAGGCGACGAUACAUAGCCGACCUGAGAGGGUGAUCGGCCACACUGGGACUGAGACACGGCCCAGACUCCUACGGGAGGCAGCAGUAGGGAAUCUUCGGCAAUGGACGGAAGUCUGACCGAGCAACGCCGCGUGAGUGAAGAAGGUUUUCGGAUCGUAAAGCUCGGUUGUAAGAGAAGAACGAGUGUGAGAGUGGAAAGUUCACACUGUGACGGUAGCUUACCAGAAAGGGACGGCUAACUACGUG
RNAcentral lists this ribosomal RNA (495 nucleotides) under uncultured bacterium. RNAcentral's name for it is "partial 16S ribosomal RNA". It matches the Rfam family "Bacterial small subunit ribosomal RNA", at positions 28 to 507 of the family's 1533-position model. The record is from RNAcentral.